GUGAUUGCCACUCGGAAGUGCUGGAAUCAGGUCGCAUUUUAAUGACCAGGAAGCACUGAAGGAGGCUGUCUCACAACAUGAACACCUUUGGUACAGAUGAUCAUGUAUUCAAGAAAAUUACA
This is a long non-coding RNA of Bufo bufo (common toad), 122 nucleotides long. RefSeq lists it as uncharacterized. The record is from RefSeq and is a predicted model, not a curated record. The transcript has 3 exons. NCBI's taxonomy places the organism in Eukaryota, Metazoa, Chordata, Amphibia, Anura, Bufonidae.